This is a long non-coding RNA of Triticum aestivum (bread wheat), 759 nucleotides long. RefSeq lists it as uncharacterized. The transcript has 3 exons. The record is from RefSeq and is a predicted model, not a curated record. NCBI's taxonomy places the organism in Eukaryota, Viridiplantae, Streptophyta, Magnoliopsida, Poales, Poaceae.
AUAUCUUGCAGACCAUCCCGCAGCAAUUCAAGAAGAGCUAUCUCCCAUGGUUUGAUGAGAUGAUCUUUCUGGUGGAUGAAGAGGAUGGGGAGUUUCCCAUGCCUUACAUGGCGCAACAUGGUGCCAUCGGCUCUGGGUGGAACUUGUUCGCCAUCGGUCACAAGCUGGCUGAUGGUGAUUGCUUGGUGUUCCAGCAAGUCCAGAGGACAAAGUUUAAGAAAUGAUGCAGGUCUACAUAAUUAGAGCAAAUUCCUACUACGAAAAGGACAAUUGUUGAUUCCUUUAGCUUCAACUAUUGCGACAACAGCAUGUCAAACAAAGGAUCCAUGGAGCGCAACAUAAUCUUCGAAGAAGUCGCUAUCUGACAACUAAAGGGGUAACAUCCUCUAGCAGUCACGUUUUACCGGAGCCUGGUAAAAUGUCAUGUUGAAUGCAAUGUGUCUGACCUUAAUAGAUGGCGCAGUAAGGUGCAAGACUGGGGCUAAGAUCAAGCUUCCUGAAUUUACAGAUUCUCCAGCAUUUGCUUGGAGACUGUUAAUUCCACCUGUUUGGUCGCUAAUUAGUUUGUUAGUAUGUUUAAUCGCUCAGCAAGAAAAUGAUCUCCUAUUUCUGUUGAGCUACUAAAGUUGCUAGGAUUCCAAGCUUUCGAUUGGUCCAGAAUGCGUGGCUGCCUCUCUGUGGCCCUCUCCUAAGCAGUUUCCUUGUUGACGAAUCUGUCUGCACACGGAACGUGUGAAUGCAUUGCUGGUAAUUGGCUAA